AUUGAACGCUGGCGGCAUGCCUUACACAUGCAAGUCGAACGGCAGCAUGGGUGCUUGCACCUGAUGGCGAGUGGCGAACGGGUGAGUAAUGCAUCGGAACGUACCCGGAAGUGGGGGAUAACGUAGCGAAAGUUACGCUAAUACCGCAUAUUCUGUGAGCAGGAAAGCGGGGGAUCGCAAGACCUCGCGCUUCCGGAGCGGCCGAUGUCGGAUUAGCUAGUUGGCGGGGUAAAGGCCCACCAAGGCGACGAUCCGUAGCGGGUCUGAGAGGAUGAUCCGCCACACUGGGACUGAGACACGGUCCAGACUCCUACGGGAGGCAGCAGGUGGGGUAAUUUUGGACAAGUGGGCGCAAGCCUGAUCCAGCCAUGCCGCGUGAGUGAAGAAGGCCUU
RNAcentral lists this ribosomal RNA (393 nucleotides) under uncultured bacterium. RNAcentral's name for it is "bacterial SSU rRNA". It matches the Rfam family "Bacterial small subunit ribosomal RNA", at positions 29 to 418 of the family's 1533-position model. The record is from RNAcentral.